This 1103-nucleotide long non-coding RNA is filed under the name Homo sapiens (human). Its description in RNAcentral is "HSALNT0020184". Lineage: Eukaryota; Metazoa; Chordata; Mammalia; Primates; Hominidae. The record is from RNAcentral.
CGCCUGGCCCUGCAACAUCACUUUUAGCAAACGUGACUAUUUCGAAGUCAUUGGAAGCACAGAAGAACCUGGCAAAGUGUUCCCUUGGAGCUAAGACCUCCUCCACACCUGCCCUGUGCCCUCGCCACGCCUCUGGACUUAAAAGUGGAGGUGGAGGGAUUACUCACAGCACUGGAGCAGCACCAGGACCACAAAGCCUGAAGAGAAAUCCAGGAUGAGACCCCUGCAAGUGCAUCCUGCCCUUCCGCCCUGCUCCCUCCCCCAAGCAACUGAGACCCACCUCCCCCACCCCCACCUCCUGGUUGCAGCCUCAGUCCCUCCCCUGGCUCUGCUUCUCCUCCCCCUCUGCCCACUCCCUUAGUCCCUCACCCAGCAGGCAGAUGGCUCUGCGGGCUGUCUGGGCCUGAAAACCCACAACUCUGAUGGAUUAACCUUGGCUAGCCCAGAUACCUGUUUGAGACGCCUUCACACCCAUUCUGGCUGCAGCAGAGCAGGGCAGGGUGUGGCCUCUUCCCUUGCCCACGGCUCCUGGUGCCAGCUACCUAGACAGGGCCUCUUCCCCAGGCCCUGUACUUCCUUUAUAUACCUGUCCCACUCCACUCCCCGACGCGGCAAACCAGCCCUUUUAUGGGAACUGAGCUAUGUGUCAAUGAAGGAAUCACGAGGCUGGCAAGUGGAGGCGGGGGAGUACUAUGGAUUACCAGAGGAGGGUUGAGAAACCGCAGAGUUUUGAAAACUUUGGGUCAGGUCUUCAUGAGGCACCUGCCAGCAGAAGAGCCACUAGGGUGAUGAUGGGGGGCUUCUGGAGAUGUGACUCAGCCGCAUUUCCCAGCCUUCCUCCCACUCCUGCACCCCACCACUGGCCUUUCUUGCCAGCAAUUUCCUGGCUUUUCUGGCAGCCUCUACCUUUGCAUCUUCAGCAUUCACUCCAGGCCCCUGGCCAGGUGGAAACUGGGCACAAUUUAGUUACGUAAGCCACAGUGCCCUAAACAAGGCUGUUGUUUUCUUCCCAGGCUCAGCAUUGCCCUGCUUGACCUACCUUCCUACCCUCCCCCUCACACUUUCUGUCUUCAGGCUGGGUAAGGGCCAGAGAGCCUCGGGAG